Long non-coding RNA from Cyprinus carpio (common carp), 567 nucleotides. RefSeq lists it as uncharacterized. The record is from RefSeq and is a predicted model, not a curated record. Lineage: Eukaryota; Metazoa; Chordata; Actinopteri; Cypriniformes; Cyprinidae. The transcript is spliced from 3 exons.
CUCACAUGACUUUCCCCCCAUUUAUUCCAAGAGUCUCUGUUGAAAGUCAGUGGACUGAAGGGAGGCAAGCCUCCGCUCUAACUUUACCUGCAGGUGUCGCUGUUGGACAGUGUUACUUUAUAAAAAAACAAGUGACUUUUAUACUUUUAACCUAAUUUAGUAAUAUUUGCGAUUUAUGUUUGUAAUAUCGAUUAUUUUGUCAUCCAGUUUUUUGAGGAGACACUGCCUCCAUUGUCUCCUCGGAGUGAACGUGCCUGCUCUGGAUAAGUGAGGGCAGUCGACAGGUGUAUGAGACGUCAGGCGUGCUAGAUAAGAGGAUUGUUUAUAAGCACAUGCUUCUAUAACAACUCAGGAUCAACUGUCAGAUAAGGACAAGGACAGAUGGCCAUAGCUGUGACCAGUUACAUUCUGCUGAAAUUGCCAUCAUCAUCAGUGCAUUCACUGAAGGUGCAAAUGUCAUCGCUGUCAUCAUCAUCUUUUGCCAAAUCCAGGAUUAUUUUCUAGUGCAGCGUCUCUUCCAGGAUAUCCAAAUCACAUCAUUCAAGGCUCCACUGUCACACAGCAGGC